UAAUCUCACUACAAUCGACUUUUGUCUUUGCAUGUGGACUUGGAUGCUGCCGUGAAUAAAACGGCUCGUCUGAAAUGCCUGAGUGUACCCUGCCCUGCGGCGUAUUUGGUGUGAUACAUCUUCACCAGAGUCGAUCCUUUGGAUUGCGUCUGCACGUGGUGGGCUCUAUGCUUUCCAAUCGUCCUUGACAAGGACAACAUCUGACAAUUGGACCUCAAAUCGGGUGGGACUACCCGCUGAACUUAAGCAUAUCAAUAAGCGGAGGAAAAGAAACUAACAAGGAUUCCCCUAGUAACGGCGAGUGAAGAGGGAAAAGCUCAAAUUUUGAAUCUGGUGUCUUUGACGCCCGAGUUGUAAUCUAGAGAAGUGUUUUCCGUGUCGGACCGUGCACAAGUUCCCUGGAACGGGGCGUCAUAGAGGGUGAGAAUCCCGUAUAUGGCACGGAUCGCCGAUGCUAUGUGAUACACUCUCAACGAGUCGAGUUGUUUGGGAAUGCAGCUCAAAAUGGGUGGUAAAUUCCAUCUAAAGCUAAAUAUUGGCGAGAGACCGAUAGCGAACAAGUACCGUGAGGGAAAGAUGAAAAGCACUUUGGAAAGAGAGUGAAACAGUACGUGAAAUUGUUGAAAGGGAAGCGUUUGAAGUCAGUCGUAUCUGGCGGGAUUCAGCCCGGCUUUGCCUGGUGGAUGUCCCGUCCGAUGGGUCAGCAUCAAUUUUGACCGAGGGAAAAGGAUGCGUCGGGAAUGUGGCUGCCUCGUGCAGUGUUAUAGCCCCGUAUAUGGAUGCCUCGGUUGGGAUUGAGGAACGCAGCGCGCCUAUAGGCCAGGGGCUACCCGCCUCUUGACACGCGCUUAGGAUGCUGGCAUAAUGGCUUUAAGCGACCCGUCUUGAAACACGGACC
RNAcentral lists this ribosomal RNA (898 nucleotides) under uncultured Sebacinales. RNAcentral's name for it is "eukaryotic LSU rRNA". The stretch from base 210 to 898 matches the Rfam family "Eukaryotic large subunit ribosomal RNA", at positions 1 to 667 of the family's 3401-position model. Lineage: Eukaryota; Fungi; Basidiomycota; Agaricomycetes; Sebacinales. The record is from RNAcentral.